This is a non-coding RNA of Vicia faba (fava bean), 246 nucleotides long. NCBI's taxonomy places the organism in Eukaryota, Viridiplantae, Streptophyta, Magnoliopsida, Fabales, Fabaceae. The record is from the annotation of a GenBank genome assembly.
AUGUCAAGUUCAAAUGAAUUUUAUCAAGACAUUUCCAUGGUUCAUUCAAAAGAAAAAGAAAGGAAUUUCAAUUUGAAAGAGGGGUACUUUGAAUGUAUGAAGAAAUUAUCAUUUAAACCUUCAAAGUCACAUUACAAGAAAAAUACAAAUACAACUUCAAUUCAAUUCACUACAUGGGGAGGUUCCAUCACAAAAUCAGGUUACAUUGCCAUUACAUCAAGGAAGUUACAUGGAAGUACAUAUUAA